This 240-nucleotide unclassified non-coding RNA is filed under the name rhizosphere metagenome. RNAcentral describes it as "partial ribosomal RNA internal transcribed spacer region". The record is from RNAcentral.
GUAGGUGAACCUGCGGAAGGAUCAUUACCUGGCCUUGGGCCGCUCGCGGGGGCUCGUCGCUUGCGACGGUGCUCUCGGGGGUGCUUAGCCCUUGAUCAUUACCUUGAUUAUACGCACCUUCGUUGUUCCCUCGGCAGCUCGCUGCCGCCAGGGACCCGUAAACCCUUUUGUAUAAGCAUCAAACCUCUGAGAACAAAUUUUAAUUAUUUACAACUUUUAACAAUGGAUCUCUUGGUUCUG